UAGGGGGUUAGCUCAGUUGGUUAGAGCAGCGGACUCAUAAUCCGCUGGUCGUGGGUUCAAGUCCCUCACCCCCUAA
RNAcentral lists this transfer RNA (76 nucleotides) under Planctomycetales bacterium. RNAcentral's name for it is "tRNA-Met". It matches the Rfam family "tRNA". From Rfam's summary of the family: Transfer RNA (tRNA) molecules are approximately 80 nucleotides in length. Their secondary structure includes four short double-helical elements and three loops (D, anti-codon, and T loops). Further hydrogen bonds mediate the characteristic L-shaped molecular structure. tRNAs have two regions of fundamental functional importance: the anti-codon, which is responsible for specific mRNA codon recognition, and the 3' end, to which the tRNAs corresponding amino acid is attached (by aminoacyl-tRNA synthetases). tRNAs cope with the degeneracy of the genetic code in two manners: having more than one tRNA (with a specific anti-codon) for a particular amino acid; and 'wobble' base-pairing, i.e. permitting non-standard base-pairing at the 3rd anti-codon position. Lineage: Bacteria; Pseudomonadati; Planctomycetota; Planctomycetia; Planctomycetales. The record is from RNAcentral.